AUACGGAGGAUCCGAGCGUUAUCCGGAUUUAUUGGGUUUAAAGGGAGCGUAGGUGGAUUGUUAAGUCAGUUGUGAAAGUUUGCGGCUCAACCGUAAAAUUGCAGUUGAAACUGGCAGUCUUGAGUACAGUAGAGGAGGGCGGAAUUCGUGGUGUAGCGGUGAAAUGCUUAGAUAUCACGAAGAACUCCGAUUGCGAAGGCAGCUCACUAGACUGUUACUGACACUGAUGCUCGAAAGUGUGGGUAUCAAACAGGAUUAGAUACCCUGGUAGUCCACACAGUAAACGAUGAAUACUCGCUGUUUGCGAUAUACAGUAAGCGGCCAAGCGAAAGCAUUAAGUAUUCCACCUGGGGAGUACGCCGGCAACGGUGAAACUCAAAUGAAUUGACGGGG
Molecule: ribosomal RNA, 393 nt
Filed under: uncultured bacterium
Lineage: Bacteria
Description: partial 16S ribosomal RNA
Rfam family: Bacterial small subunit ribosomal RNA
Source: RNAcentral